CUGGCUCAGGAUGAACGCUAGCGGCAGGCCUAAUACAUGCAAGUCGGACGGGAUUGGGACUUCGGUUCCAUGAGAGUGGCGCACGGGUGCGUAACACGUAUGUAACCUACCUUAGUCAGGGGGAUAGCCUCUCGAAAGAGAGAUUAAGACCGCAUAAAAUCAUGAUAUGGCAUCGUAUUAUGAUCAAAUAUUUAUAGGACUAAGAUGGGCAU
This 212-nucleotide ribosomal RNA is filed under the name Mucilaginibacter oryzae. Its description in RNAcentral is "partial 16S ribosomal RNA". It matches the Rfam family "Bacterial small subunit ribosomal RNA", at positions 19 to 232 of the family's 1533-position model. The record is from RNAcentral. Lineage: Bacteria; Pseudomonadati; Bacteroidota; Sphingobacteriia; Sphingobacteriales; Sphingobacteriaceae.